This 447-nucleotide ribosomal RNA is filed under the name uncultured bacterium. RNAcentral describes it as "SSU rRNA". It matches the Rfam family "Bacterial small subunit ribosomal RNA", at positions 26 to 518 of the family's 1533-position model. The record is from RNAcentral.
AGAACGAACGCUGGCGGCAGGCUUAACACAUGCAAGUCGAACGCUCGUAGCAAUACGGGAGUGGCAGACGGGUGAGUAACGCGUGGGAACAUACCCUCCGGUUCGGAAUAGCUCAGGGAAACUUGGAUUAAUACCGGAUACGGCUGAGAGGCGAAAGAUUUAUCGCCGGAGGAUUGGCCCGCGUUCGAUUAGCUAGUUGGUGAGGUAACGGCUCACCAAGGCUAUGAUCGAUAGCUGGUCUGAGAGGAUGAUCAGCCACAUUGGGACUGAGACACGGCCCAAACUCCUACGGGAGGCAGCAGUGGGAAUAUUGGACAAUGGGCGCAAGCCUGAUCCAGCCAUGCCGCGUGAGUGAUGACGGCCUUAGGGUUGUAAAGCUCUUUCGCUCGGGACGAUAAUGACGGUACCGAGAUAAGAAGCCCCGGCUAACUUCGUGCCAGCAGCCGC